RNAcentral lists this ribosomal RNA (902 nucleotides) under uncultured marine eukaryote. Its description in RNAcentral is "SSU rRNA". It matches the Rfam family "Eukaryotic small subunit ribosomal RNA", at positions 417 to 1322 of the family's 1831-position model. The record is from RNAcentral.
CAAGGAAGGCAGCAGGCGCGUAAAUUGCCCGAAUCCUGACACAGGGAGGUAGUGACAAGAAAUAACGAUACAGGGCUACAUCUAGUCUUGUAAUUGGAAUGAGCACAAUUUACAUCUCUUAACGAUGAUCAAUUGGAGGGCAAGUCUGGUGCCAGCAGCCGCGGUAAUUCCAGCUCCAAUAGCGUAUAUUAAAGUUGUUGCAGUUAGAACGCUCGUAGUCGGAUUUCGGGGCGGUCCGACCGGUCUGCCGAUGGGUACGCACUGGUCGGAGCGUCCUUCCUGCCGGAGACCGUGCCUACUCUUAACUGAGCGGGGGCGGGAGACGGCACUUUUACUUUGAAAAAAUCAGAGUGUUUCAAGCAGGCAGCUCGCUCUUGCAUGGAUUAGCAUGGGAUAAUGAAAUAGGACUUUGGUGCUAUUUUGUUGGUUUCGAACACCGAAGUAAUGAUGAGAAGGGACAGUCAGGGGCACUCGUAUUCCGCCGAGAGAGGUGAAAUUCUCAGACCAGCGGAAGACGAACCACUGCGAAAGCAUUUGCCAGGGAUGUUUUCACUGAUCAAGAACGAAAGUUAGGGGAUCGAAGACGAUCAGAUACCGUCGUAGUCUUAACCAUAAACCAUGCCGACUAGGGAUUGGAGGAUGUUCACUGAUUGACUCCUUCAGCACCUUACGGGAAACCAAAGUCUUUGGGUUCCGGGGGGAGUAUGGUCGCAAGGCUGAAACUUAAAGGAAUUGACGGAAGGGCACCACCAGGUGUGGAGCCUGCGGCUUAAUUUGACUCAACACGGGGAAACUUACCAGGUCCAGACAUUGUGAGGAUUGACAGAUUGAGAGCUCUUUCUUGAUUUAAUGGGUGGUGGUGCAUGGCCGUUCUUAGUUGGUGGAGUGAUUUGUCUGGUUAA